GGAGUACGCCGGAUGACCGGGGCCAGGUCGGCUCAGGAAAGUCCGGGCUUCACGGGGCAGGGUGCAGGAUAACGUCCUGUCGGGGUGACUCGAAGGAAAGUGCCACAGAAACAUACCGCGGGGAGCCUGCUCUCCGUAAGGGUGAAAUCGCGAGGUAAGAGCUCACGGAGCGCUGCGGUGACGCAGCCUCGGGCAAACCCCACCUGAAGCAAGACUGCUCGACGAAAAUGGACGGCCCGUCCAAACGAGCUACGUCGCAACGAGGCGCUCGGUAACGUGCGUCCCAGAGAGAUGGUCAUCGCCCGCUCGCGGGAACAGAAUCCGGCUUACAGGCGUACUCCGCUU
The sequence is an RNase P RNA, 345 nucleotides long. It matches the Rfam family "Bacterial RNase P class A". Rfam says of the family: Ribonuclease P (RNase P) is a ubiquitous endoribonuclease, found in archaea, bacteria and eukarya as well as chloroplasts and mitochondria. Its best characterised activity is the generation of mature 5'-ends of tRNAs by cleaving the 5'-leader elements of precursor-tRNAs.